Long non-coding RNA from Ostrea edulis (European flat oyster), 465 nucleotides. RefSeq lists it as uncharacterized. The transcript has 2 exons. NCBI's taxonomy places the organism in Eukaryota, Metazoa, Mollusca, Bivalvia, Ostreida, Ostreidae. The record is from RefSeq and is a predicted model, not a curated record.
UGACAUCCUUCUAACCACUUAACAAGUAUGACAAAAUACAGGAUAGACCACUUCAACGUCAAUGAAAAAAAAUAUUUAGAAUCAUAAAAAAAAUGCAAUUUAAUGAAUGGCACUCCACUUUUAAUGAGGGCAGAAUGAUUCAAGUUGCACAAUUAAUCCCUAACAUCUACUAUUUCAGUCAUGUCUUGGGAGUUCAUGAACAGAAUCAUAGUGAAAUCAGCUCAGUUCAGAAGGACACACUUGAACACUCCUUUUCUUAUGCAUAAAAGCUAGAAACAAUGAUAUCAAGGAAGAAAAAAAACUUCUCUGCAAAGGAAGAACUACAAUCCUGUGCACUUUGAACAAUAGAUCUGAUAACGGACAGUGAUGAGGGUGUCUCCACAGAAAGAUUCCUCACAACUUCUUAAUCUUCAACUGUUUCUCCUUGUUCAAACAUCAACACCUUCCUAAUAUCACAUGGUUAUC